Molecule: ribosomal RNA, 301 nt
Filed under: uncultured bacterium
Lineage: Bacteria
Description: partial 16S ribosomal RNA
Rfam family: Bacterial small subunit ribosomal RNA
Source: RNAcentral
CAGCGCCGCGGUAAUACGUAGGGUGCAAGCGUUAAUCGGAAUUACUGGGCGUAAAGCGUGCGCAGGCGGUUUGUUAAGACAGAUGUGAAAUCCCCGGGCCCAACCUGGGAACUGCAUUUGUGACUGGCAAGCUAGAGUAUGGCAGAGGGGGGUGGAAUUCCGCGUGUAGCAGUGAAAUGCGUAGAUAUGCGGAGGAACACCGAUGGCGAAGGCAGCCCCCUGGGCCUAUACUGACGCUCAUGCACGAAAGCGUGGGGAGCAAACAGGAUUAGAUACCCCUGUAGUCCCUGUCUCUUAUACA